AUCCUCAGGGUGCCUUUUUCAGUCGCUGUGAUUUGGCUGGCAUUGGCCACAGCUCAUAAAACCAUUGACCUGAGUGUGUCUGGCAGGUCUUUGGAUGACAUCUGGUCCCAGCCCCUGCUCAAAGCAUGGCCAACAUAGUUCAAACAUCUCAGGGACUUGUCCAGCUGAGCCCCGAGUCUCUCUAAGGCUGCAGAUUAUGCAGCAUCUCUGCUCAGCCUGGUGCAGUUUGUGACCACCCUCACAAGGAGAGAACUUUUUCUAGGACCUCAUCAGAAUUUCCCUCUUGCAACCCACUUCUGUUGCCUCUCUUCCUGUCCCUGUGCACCUCCACUAUGACACCCCCUGUCCCCCUGCCAAAGGACUCCAACUCCUUGGCUUGUGCUUUUGAAGUUCUGGCCACUGAAAAUGCCAGCUGUCAAUGUGGUAUUUGCAAAGAACCAAGACAGGCUUCACUUUUUGCCUAUGAGACACAGCCCUGGCACAGGAAGUUCCUGAUUUGGAAGAAAGAAUUGGGCCCCUUUCAAGCAGACCUGGGUUGGAGACAUCCAGCUGGAGCCAUCCAAAACAGACCCACAGUGUGGGCCAGCAGCAGGGAUUGGCAGGUCUGUGUGCACUUCUUCACCUCUUAGUGCAGGUAACCUGUGAGUGCCCAUCUGGGGCUCCUUCACUGCACUGGGCUCCUCCACACAACCUAGGCCUGAGACACUUGUUCCUUCUGCACAGACUGUGUCUCAGGGAAGCCAGAUUGAUGAAUCAGUCUCCUUCAUGACUUACUCUUUCAUGGAGUAGAGGCAAAAAAAAGGAUGUUCCUCCCCAAAACAUCUGUGUCAGUCCCUUGAGCCAGCAGAGCUUUUGAUGUUGGGGUUGAGGUGGAAGCAGAGGGCUCACACUGUUCUUCACCUGUACGUGUUCCAGCUCUCUAGUCAUUAAAGCAGAAACUCAGCCUGUUUGCAGAUUCCUACGUCACCACUGGUUACUGACCUGGCAAACACAUCUUUGUGGUGACAUGACCGCUUGAUAUAAAGGUUCUUUCCUCAGGAGAUGGGAGAGAAGGGGGAAGAAUGCUGGAUCACAGCGGUCAGAGAGGUAAAAAGUGUCCAUGAUGCAAAGCCUUUUGUUGGUUUGUUUUCUUUUUGUGCAUAGAUUAAGUGAAGUCAAAACCUAACACUGGGCAGUGAGCAGAACAUCUAACGCAGUAGGUGGGCAGGCAACCCUUUCCAGGCUCACCACAUCUGCUCUGUGAGGAUCCCCAGAGCCCUACCAGGACUUGUCCUAAUCCUGUGCACACACUCUGCCAGAUUUUGCAGUCACUUCAUCUUUCUAGCAGGGUGGAUAACGAGGAUACUCCGCUCAGCUGCCUGCGUGGGGCUGCUUACGCAGAAAGGCGCUGCAGUUUUGGGAACUGAAGAUCACACCACCACAAUCUGUUCUCUGGUGGCGAUGUCCACCUUCUUCCAUUACCUCUGAACACAGGAUGAUGCUGUAGCCAGAAGCCCAGUGGCCUCAGAUCAGGCAGAAUGCACUGCCUGUGUUCCCAGCAGCUAGCACACGAUUCCAGAGCAGGUAGGGGAUUUCUUUGGAUCUGAGGCAUGGAGGUGUCAGAAGCAGCUGCACUGCUGUUAUCACCUC
Cyanistes caeruleus (blue tit) is the source of this 1629-nucleotide long non-coding RNA. Lineage: Eukaryota; Metazoa; Chordata; Aves; Passeriformes; Paridae. The record is from Ensembl.